GCCCGCUCAGAAACUACAAAGGAAGUUGACGGGGCCGGCACAAGCGGAGGAGCAUGUGGUUAAUUCGAUGAUACGCGAGGAACCUUACCUGGGCUCGAACGUAAGAUGACUGUAGGUGAAAGCUUACAUCUCUUCGGAGCAUUUUACGAGGUGCUGCAUGGUUGUCGUCAGCUCGUGCCGUGAGGUGUCGGGUUAAGUCCCAUAACGAGCGCAACCCCUACCUUUAGUUGCCAUCAGGUUAAGCUGGGGACUCUAAAGGAACUGCCUACGCAAGUAGUGAGGAAGGCGGGGAUGACGUCAAAUCAGCACGGCCCUUACGUCCAGGGCUACACACGUGCUACAAUGGCCGAUACAGAGGGCAGCUACCUGGUGACAGGAUGCAAAUCUCCAAAGUCGGUCUCAGUUCGGAUCGGAGUCUGCAACCCGACUCCGUGAAGUUGGAUUCGCUAGUAAUCGCGCAUCAGCCAUGGCGCGGUGAAUACGUUCCCGGGCCUU
RNAcentral lists this ribosomal RNA (495 nucleotides) under uncultured Sphingobacteriales bacterium. RNAcentral's name for it is "bacterial SSU rRNA". It matches the Rfam family "Bacterial small subunit ribosomal RNA", at positions 903 to 1382 of the family's 1533-position model. The record is from RNAcentral. Lineage: Bacteria; Pseudomonadati; Bacteroidota; Sphingobacteriia; Sphingobacteriales.